This 425-nucleotide ribosomal RNA is filed under the name uncultured bacterium. Its description in RNAcentral is "bacterial SSU rRNA". It matches the Rfam family "Bacterial small subunit ribosomal RNA", at positions 354 to 796 of the family's 1533-position model. The record is from RNAcentral.
GUGGGGAAUAUUGGACAAUGGGCGCAAGCCUGAUCCAGCCAUGCCGCGUGAGUGAUGAAGGCCCUAGGGUUGUAAAGCUCUUUCACCGGUGAAGAUAAUGACGGUAACCGGAGAAGAAGCCCCGGCUAACUUCGUGCCAGCAGCCGCGGUAAUACGAAGGGGGCUAGCGUUGUUCGGAAUUACUGGGCGUAAAGCGCACGUAGGCGGACAUUUAAGUCAGGGGUGAAAUCCCAGAGCUCAACUCUGGAACUGCCUUUGAUACUGGGUGUCUUGAGUAUGGAAGAGGUAAGUGGAAUUCCGAGUGUAGAGGUGAAAUUCGUAGAUAUUCGGAGGAACACCAGUGGCGAAGGCGGCUUACUGGUCCAUUACUGACGCUGAGGUGCGAAAGCGUGGGGAGCAAACAGGAUUAGAAACCCCUGUAGUCC